This 517-nucleotide ribosomal RNA is filed under the name uncultured bacterium. RNAcentral describes it as "bacterial SSU rRNA". It matches the Rfam family "Bacterial small subunit ribosomal RNA", at positions 9 to 526 of the family's 1533-position model. The record is from RNAcentral.
GAGUUUGAUCCUGGCUCAGGAUGAACGCUGGCGGCGUGCUUAACACAUGCAAGUCGAGCGAAGCAGUUAAGUUGAUUUCUUCGGAUUGAUUCUUAAUUGACUGAGCGGCGGACGGGUGAGUAACGCGUGGGUGACCUGCCCCAUACCGGGGGAUAACAGCUGGAAACGGCUGCUAAUACCGCAUAAGCGCACAGAGCUGCAUGGCUCAGUGUGAAAAACUCCGGUGGUAUGGGAUGGGCCCGCGUCUGAUUAGGCAGUUGGCGGGGUAACGGCCCACCAAACCGACGAUCAGUAGCCGGCCUGAGAGGGCGACCGGCCACAUUGGGACUGAGACACGGCCCAAACUCCUACGGGAGGCAGCAGUGGGGAAUAUUGCACAAUGGGGGAAACCCUGAUGCAGCGACGCCGCGUGGAGGAAGAAGGUUUUCGGAUUGUAAACUCCUGUCGUUAGGGACGAUAAUGACGGUACCUAACAAGAAAGCACCGGCUAACUACGUGCCAGCCGCCGCGGUAAUUC